GUCCACGCCCUAAACGAUGAAUACUUGGUGUUGGACCGUAAGGUUCAGUGCCGUAGGUAACCUGUUAAGUAUUCCACCUGGGGAGUACGCCCGCAAGGGUGAAACUCAAAGGAAUUGACGGGGGCCCGCACAAGCGGUGGAGCAUGUGGUUUAAUUCGAUGCAACGCGAAGAACCUUACCUGGGCUUGAACUGUUAGUGGUAGGACCCUGAAAGGGGAACGACCCGAAAGGGAGCUAGCAGAGGUGCUGCAUGGCUGUCGU
Molecule: ribosomal RNA, 261 nt
Filed under: uncultured bacterium
Lineage: Bacteria
Description: partial 16S ribosomal RNA
Rfam family: Bacterial small subunit ribosomal RNA
Source: RNAcentral